UCCUACAAUGGCGCCGAUGGGCAUAGGAAUGGGAAUGGGUAUCAGAUUAAGCUAUGGGAUAGGAAGGCAUGAUGUGAAUGUUUCUUGGGGGUGCUCCUUUAUUCCAGUGCAAGGGCCACAGUUCCUUUCCUCCUCAAUUACAGGGUAGCAGGGUGUGCUUCCUUCGCCAGUUAGGUCUAACAACCUCAAGAUGUUUGGAAUCCGGGGAACAGGGUUCCCAGUGCCACUGCCUUAUCGACCCCUUCUACCACUAUAGAAGAUGCAGUGGACCAGACACAACGAUGAAUGUUGGAAAUUAGCAUGAGCAAAAUAAGAAACCUUGGAGAAGAAGUAAUACUGGUGAAUGAUAGAUUUAGUCCGCUAAGAGCCAUCUGUGGGGAAUCGAGGACAAACCUGAACAACAUCAACAACAACACCAAAGGUGUAAUAUACCAUGUAGAUGUAAGAUAUGUGCUAAUCUAUGGAAUAAUCUUUGAGCGUCUCAUACAAGAAGAUGAACCCCUUUUGUGUUCCCUUUGCAAGUACAAAUAUGGGUUUGGCUAUGCUAGCAAUGGAACUGGGCUGGAUGGGCCCGAACUACUCAAUUUCAACUGCUUGUGCUACAAGCAACUUCUAAAUCCUGAAUGCAACUAACCAUAUCAUAAGAGGUGAACCUGAUAUAAUGCUUUGUGGUGGCUCUGAUGCAGCAAUAAUACCUAUUGGGUUUUGUGGCAUGUCGAGCACUUUCACAAAGAAACAAUGAUCCAAUCAAAGCUGCCUGGCCGUGGGAUAGUGUAUGUAUAGAUAGAUGCAUGAUGACAGAGUUCAAAAGUUAUCUGUCAUGUGAUAGGAACGUUAUGGAUUUGUUAUUAAGGUUGGUACAGACUACGAAAAGAGGAUAAUGAAAGGUUUUUGCUAAAGCUCAGAAAUCGAAUGGAGCGGUCCGGAUCGAGCAUUUGAACAUUGAUGCAAAGGCAAUUGAGUGGAAUUCGAGGGAUUCAGACAAUUACAAAAUUUUCUAGGUACUACCAUCCUAACUACAAGCAUUUCACCCUCUGAUGCUGCAUUUUCAUUGACGCGAUAUCUUAAAGAUCCAUAUAUGGUGGGUGUCCAUUGAUGAGGAUGAAUGUGACGACACAUGAUAAUUGUUCUUGUAUUACAAAAUACAAACUGUACAUUCUGGUAUGCAGGUGCUAAUGAUGGACUUUUUUUCCUUCGAUCCAA
Asparagus officinalis (garden asparagus) is the source of this 1203-nucleotide RNA transcript. RefSeq lists it as uncharacterized. The record is from RefSeq and is a predicted model, not a curated record. NCBI's taxonomy places the organism in Eukaryota, Viridiplantae, Streptophyta, Magnoliopsida, Asparagales, Asparagaceae. The transcript is spliced from 10 exons.